GACGAACGCUGGCGGCGUGCUUAACACAUGCAAGUCGAGCGGAAAGGCCCUUCGGGUUACUCGAGCGGCGAACGGGUGAGUAACACGUGAGUAACCUGCCCCAGACUUUGGGAUAACCCUCGGAAACGGGGGCUAAUACCGGAUACGACACAGCUUCGCUGGGGGGCUGUGUGGAAAGUUGUGCGGCUUGAGUUGGGUCCGAGGUCGAUGAGCUUGUUGGUGGAGUACUGGCUGACCAAGGCGACGACGGGUAGCCGGCCUGUGAGGGCGAACAGCCACACGGGGACUGAGGGAGGGACCAGACUCCUACGGGAGGCAGCAGUGGGGAAUAUUGCACAAUGGGCGGAAGCCUGAUGCAGCGACGCCGCGUGAGGGAUGACGGCCUUCGGGUUGUAAACCUCUUUCAGCAGGGACGAAGCGUAAGUGACGGUACCUGCAGAAGAAGCGCCGGCCAACUACGUG
Molecule: ribosomal RNA, 462 nt
Filed under: uncultured bacterium
Lineage: Bacteria
Description: partial 16S ribosomal RNA
Rfam family: Bacterial small subunit ribosomal RNA
Source: RNAcentral